UGGGGAAUAUUGGACAAUGGGGGCAACCCUGAUCCAGCAAUGCCGCGUGUGUGAAGAAGGUCUUCGGAUUGUAAAGCACUUUCGACGGGGACGAUGAUGACGGUACCCGUAGAAGAAGCCCCGGCUAACUUCGUGCCAGCAGCCGCGGUAAUACGAAGGGGGCUAGCGUUGCUCGGAAUGACUGGGCGUAAAGGGCGUGUAGGCGGUUUACACAGUCAGAUGUGAAAUCCCCGGGCUUAACCUGGGAGCUGCAUUUGAUACGUGUAGACUAGAGUGUGAGAGAGGGUUGUGGAAUUCCCAGUGUAGAGGUGAAAUUCGUAGAUAUUGGGAAGAACACCGGUGGCGAAGGCGGCAACCUGGCUCAUGACUGACGCUGAGGCGCGAAAGCGUGGGGAGCAAACAGGUUAGAUACCCUGGUAGUCCACGCUGUAAACGAUGUGUGCUAGAUGUUGGGUAACUUUGUUAUUCAGUGUCGCAGUUAACGCG
Molecule: ribosomal RNA, 486 nt
Filed under: uncultured bacterium
Lineage: Bacteria
Description: partial 16S ribosomal RNA
Rfam family: Bacterial small subunit ribosomal RNA
Source: RNAcentral